UCAUUCCAAGGCCUUUCUUCUCAUAUUAUAUAUACUACACUGUUGGCCUCUGCCAACCAAUGGAUUCUUUUUGGUAAAUAAAAGGCUCAGACCACAUCCUUAUUCUACAACGAUAAAACGGAGGGUAGUGAAAAAUAUAGAAUUUCAGCUCCUCGCCGGUUUGCAUCUUGGCCAUGUGACUCUCUGCAAAUCUGCACCAAGCUAAUCUCUCAAGUGUUCUUCAAUAAUUUGAAGAUGGUACGAAUCAGUGCUGAGCCACUUUCAUUAGCAUUAACACCAUUAAGGAUGUUAACAACUUCCUCAUUAUCACAUUCCUAUACCCCAGGUUCCAAGCAAGCUGUUGGCC
RNAcentral lists this long non-coding RNA (346 nucleotides) under Gossypium barbadense (sea-island cotton). RNAcentral's name for it is "long non-coding RNA (GBAR_LNC018658)". The record is from RNAcentral. Lineage: Eukaryota; Viridiplantae; Streptophyta; Magnoliopsida; Malvales; Malvaceae.